UUCCUAUGGGAGGCAGCAGUGAGGAAUAUUGGUCAAUGGUCGGGAGACUGAACCAGCCAAGCCGCGUGAGGGAUGAAGGUACAGAGUAUCGUAAACUUCUUUUAUAUGGGAAUAAAACAGGGUAUGCAUACCCUCUUGUAUGUACCAUAUGAAUAAGGAUCGGCUAACUCCGUGCCAGCAGCCGCGGUAAUACGGAGGAUCCGAGCGUUAUCCGGAUUUAUUGGGUUUAAAGGGAGCGUAGGUGGAUUGUUAAGUCAGUUGUGAAAGUUUGCGGCUCAACCGUAAAAUUGCAGUUGAAACUGGCA
This 305-nucleotide ribosomal RNA is filed under the name uncultured bacterium. RNAcentral describes it as "bacterial SSU rRNA". It matches the Rfam family "Bacterial small subunit ribosomal RNA", at positions 336 to 638 of the family's 1533-position model. The record is from RNAcentral.